CACCCCCCAGGUCAGAGUGACCUGUUCCUGCAUCUGUGCUCCCCCCACCCUUAGAAGGGCCUUUGUCUUAAACCCUUAUAAAAGGCUUUCUGCCCUUUUUGCAUCACUUGGUCGUCUUCCCUGCGAACGCGGUGCCUGCCCAGCCUGAGAGAGCCGCCAUGAUCUCUCCAUGACUUCUCAUCCCUGUGCUUGGAUAUUACCAAUCCUCUUGGGCCUCCCCGUUCGUCUUCCCCUGCAGGCACUUGCCAGAGGGGUAGAAGUCUUCAGGUGGCUCUGCUGCUGUGUUGGGGUGCAGUCCUGGCCCAGGGUGCAGGUGGAGCAGAUGAAGGAGUUAAUAUUGAUUCUAUUGGAUCCUCUGAAUUUGAAUCAGGGAGAACAUUUUUCUUUUCCCAAUAGUCAUUACAGCCUUACAGCCCCAGCUAGAAGGCACCACGCACCACAUAUCUUAAGGAAUGUAAUCCUAAGGGAUGUGGGAAACAACUGUGAUAAGAAACUAAUGAAGUUCUCCAGAGACCUGCUAAAUAUUACAUGCUAUCCAAGACGAUUAACUUUCUUUGUCUCUAACUUGUAUAAAAGCCACAAGAAAGAUCACUACAGGUGGGCAGCUUGGCGGCUGAUCAAGACUCCUGCCCUCCGUCGGUGCAUAAAUAAAACCUCCUUUUCCUCCCCAGCCGCGUUCCAUGUGCCUGUACAUUAAGCUGUGCCAAGUGACGAGCCCUGAUUUGGGGUGGGGGAAAUCUCAUUAUCAGUUUGUAGCCAGAGAUUGAAGGAAACCUCCAGAAUUGAAAAAUUGGUAAGGGUUGACAACAUGUGCAAGAAGACGGGAUGCAGUUUAAUUUACAGGUGUGACACAGAACCAUCAAUUACCUGCAGUUUACCAAAAGGUGUAAGACAGCAGGAAGACAAUGAACAGGAGCAAGCUGAAAUCUGAUAACCAGCAGGAAUGCCUAUAGUUUUCUACUGAAACACACGGUUUCUCUCUACAGCCACCCUCCUUUGAGCAAAGAUAAUCGCAAAGAAGGAUUAUUGUUGAUCAUUAAACAAGGCUGGUUUGAUUAAAUUCAGCAUGAUAUUUGUAUAGGUGCAG
This is a long non-coding RNA of Choloepus didactylus (southern two-toed sloth), 1087 nucleotides long. RefSeq lists it as uncharacterized. The record is from RefSeq and is a predicted model, not a curated record. NCBI's taxonomy places the organism in Eukaryota, Metazoa, Chordata, Mammalia, Pilosa, Megalonychidae. The transcript is spliced from 4 exons.